Molecule: ribosomal RNA, 253 nt
Filed under: uncultured bacterium
Lineage: Bacteria
Description: partial 16S ribosomal RNA
Rfam family: Bacterial small subunit ribosomal RNA
Source: RNAcentral
UACGUAGGGUGCGAGCGUUAAUCGGAAUUACUGGGCGUAAAGCGUGCGCAGGCGGUGAGUUAAGUCUGCUGUGAAAGCCCCGGGCUCAACCUGGGAAUGGCAGUGGAAGCUGGCUCGCUGGAGUAUGGUAGAGGGGGGUGGAAUUCCGCGUGUAGCAGUGAAAUGCGUAGAGAUGCGGAGGAACACCGAUGGAGAAGGCAGCCCCCUGGGCCAAUACUGACGCUCAGGCACGAAAGCGUGGGGAGCAAACAAG